Molecule: long non-coding RNA, 2096 nt
Filed under: Portunus trituberculatus (swimming crab)
Lineage: Eukaryota; Metazoa; Arthropoda; Malacostraca; Decapoda; Portunidae
Description: uncharacterized LOC123508115
Source: RNAcentral
GAGGCGAGGGAUGUGGACGAAGGGGAAAGUGGAGUGGGUGGAGAGGGGAUGGAGAGGGGAAAGAGGGGAGGGAGGUUAGGGAUGUGGUAAUAGCGCUGGGAACUGCUUAUGGUAUGGGGGUGAGGGGAAGUAAAGAGAGGGGAAAUGUGAGAGCUUGAGAGAGGAAGGGGAGGGGAGAGGGGAGUGGGGAGGUGUGUAGUGGAGUUGGAUUAGUAAAAGGAUAGGAUGGAUAUUAGAUAGAGUGGAGAACAGUAUUACCUUACCACCUCACUACACACACACACACACACACACACACACACACACACACACACACACACACACACACACACACGCAACACUCAACACCUCAUCAUAAGUUUAUUAAUCCUACUAAGCUACUCAUUCACACACACACACACACACACACACACACACACACACACACACACACACACACACACACACACACACACACGUACAAACACCUUCCCCUGCACCUCCCUACGCACCCUGUACAGCGGCCCCAUGACGUCAGCAGGGCAGCAUGUGAGGCCCUGCAGAUGCCCCUUCACACCCUGCUGCCGCCUCUCCCUGCUAAGGAUCAUUAAUUAUACUUCCACCCAACAUGCCUUCAACCUUCCUUUUUUUUUUUUUUCCUUUUACUUUUUUCACGGUUUUUUCUUUCACGUCAAGACCUGAAAAGUUGACUCGUGAUGUUUUUUUUAGUAGUAUUACCUCGAGUCAAGAUUGGAGAGGGUAUGUUAUUUUCUUCAUUUAUUUUUUCAUCUAUUUUUAUUUUAGUUUAUUUUUGUUGUAAGAUUAUUUAAGAAGUUUAUAAUGAAGGAAGGUGCUACGUGAUUUUAAUAUGAAGGUGUGGGUUUACGGUCCACACACACACACACACACACACACACACACACACACACACACACACACACACGUUAACCAAACACCCUGACGCAAUAUUUGGACACCAGAGGGCGAGGUCAGUGGAUCUCAGGGUAAAGGAAAUGACGAAAUGAAAGGAGCUAAAAAAAAAAAAAAAAUAAGUAAAACGAGGAGGAGGAGGAGGAGGAGGAGGAGGAGGAGGAGGAGGAGGAGGAGGAGGAGGAGGAGGAGGAGGAGGAGGAGGAGGAGGAAAAGGAGGAGGAGGAAAUGAAAUCAGAUCAAGACCGGAAAGCAAGCAAACCAAAUACACACACACACACACACACACACACACACACACACACACACACAGACUAAAAUAUCAUUAAUUGAGAACUAUAUUAGCAAUCAGGAGCAGCAGCAGUAGUAGUGGUGGCAAUGGUGAUAGUGAUGGAGUGGUGAAAGCAGCGUGCUGGUGGUGAGCAGUGAAAGCAGGGGUGGUGUACCACCAUCACCACCACCACCACCACCACCAUCACCAUUACCACCUUGCCCUACGCCAGGUGAGCCCCAGGUACUACCGGGUGGGUCGUACAAGGCUUCUCACGACCCUCAUCUACCUGCACUUACUUUCUCCACCUGAGUGAUGUAGCAGGAAGGUGUGCAGCGCCCCGAGGGAAGACAGAUGGUCGCCCUUGAUAGAAGAGUGAGACGGGUGGGAUGGGCGCGUCUAGGUGGUGACUUGUGUGGUGACGGGGUGGUGACGGGGCCAAGAUUCAUAGUCCCGCCCGUCACCACCCACCACCACACCGCCCUCCUCUUAUAAGGCGGCGCCCACCCACUCCCCACACCCCCACCUCCAUCCCCCCACGCAACACACGCCCGCGCCGCCCACGUGACCAUUUGGACUCAAAACUUUACUAUGGGAUUUAUAUUCACUUUUAUAACUCAACUUUCACCUUCUUAUACAUUUUUUUCACUUUAUCCUUACGUGUGUGUGUGUGUGUGUGUGUGUGUGUGUGUGUGUGUGUGUGUGUGUGUGUGUGUGUGUGUGUGUGAUUAUAGAUGUAAGUAUAUGAGUCAGGAACCCACCAGGCGCCCCCACCUCGCUGCCCCGCCUCGCCUACUCCUGCCACGCCCUUGAGAUCCUUAUAUGUGUGAAUGGAGACCGUGGUGGUGGUGGUAGUGGUGGUGGUGGUGGUGGUGGUGGUGGUGGUGGUGGUGGUGGUGGUGGUGGUGGCGGUAGU